GCGGGCGUGGUGAAACUGGUAAACACAAGGGACUUAAAAUCCCUCGGCUUCGGCCUUGUCGGUUCAAGUCCGACCGCCCGCACCA
This 85-nucleotide transfer RNA is filed under the name Rhodospirillales bacterium. RNAcentral describes it as "tRNA-Leu". It matches the Rfam family "tRNA". Rfam says of the family: Transfer RNA (tRNA) molecules are approximately 80 nucleotides in length. Their secondary structure includes four short double-helical elements and three loops (D, anti-codon, and T loops). The record is from RNAcentral. Lineage: Bacteria; Pseudomonadati; Pseudomonadota; Alphaproteobacteria; Rhodospirillales.